This 460-nucleotide ribosomal RNA is filed under the name uncultured bacterium. RNAcentral's name for it is "partial 16S ribosomal RNA". It matches the Rfam family "Bacterial small subunit ribosomal RNA", at positions 338 to 795 of the family's 1533-position model. The record is from RNAcentral.
CCUACGGGUGGCAGCAGUGAGGAAUAUUGGUCAAUGGACGAGAGUCUGAACCAGCCAAGUAGCGUGAAGGAUGACUGCCCUAUGGGUUGUAAACUUCUUUUAUAUGGGAAUAAAAUGUUCCACGUGUGGGAUUUUGUAUGUACCAUAUGAAUAAGGAUCGGCUAACUCCGUGCCAGCAGCCGCGGUAAUACGGAGGAUCCGAGCGUUAUCCGGAUUUAUUGGGUUUAAAGGGAGCGUAGGUGGAUUGUUAAGUCAGUUGUGAAAGUUUGCGGCUCAACCGUAAAAUUGCAGUUGAUACUGGCAGUCUUGAGUACAGUAGAGGUGGGCGGAAGUCGUGGUGUAGCGGUGAAAUGCUGAGAUAUCACGAAGAACUCCGAUUGCGAAGGCAGUUCACUGGACUGCAACUGACACUGAGGCUCGAAAGUGUGGGUAUCAAACAGGAUUAGAUACCCUAGUAGUC